AUGAUGCUCGACGUCAGCAGGAGCAUGGUUGGCCACAAGAUUGCGCUGCUUAAGCAGGCCAUGGGUUUUGUCGUCGACAAGCUGAUCCUCGUGUCUUUCUCGGGCACCGAGCGUCGCCUCACCUACCUCACGGGCUUGUCUGGUGCCGGGAAGGCCUCGACAGAGCGCACCGUGGGGUCCCUGGUCGCCGGUGGCGGGACGAACAUCAAAGAGGGUCUCCGCGAGACCGCGAAGGUGAUCGACGGUCGCCGCUACAGGAACGCCGUUACCGGCGUCAUCCUACUCUCCGACGGCCAAGACAACCACACACCGAGUUACAACCACGAAGUGGCGACCGACUACAGCGUACUCAUGCCACCUUCCCUGAUCCGCACGGGCGACGGUUCCCCGCCGCCGAUCCAUGGGUUUAUAGCCCUUGUGCGACGUUUUUGA
Molecule: ribosomal RNA, 432 nt
Filed under: Triticum aestivum (bread wheat)
Lineage: Eukaryota; Viridiplantae; Streptophyta; Magnoliopsida; Poales; Poaceae
Description: partial small subunit ribosomal RNA
Source: RNAcentral